GAUAAACCGGGAGGCGGGAAGGGAACUUAUUCUGCCACCGGUCAUUCCGGUUUCCGGUGAAUGCCUCAGUACUCCGAAUCCGAAAACUCCAAUAACCCGGAAUUCGCCGGGUUGAAGUCCUCCGAUCACUCCCUCCACCAACUCUGAACAUCGCCGCCGGAGGCACAGCUCUAAAUCACGUGGAACUGUAUAGCGAAACUCCGAGCUCAGCGAAGAUGUCGCAGCUGGGAAAUCCGGCCAAUAGCAGCAGCAGCAGCAGUAGCAUUCCAGUGAGUGAAGCGUACUGGUCUCUUUUUGACAAAGCUGACCGGAAGUUUUCCAAGAUCAGGGACCUGCCUUAUUACGAACGCAAUAGGUACGAUGCGUAUUUUCACAAGGCGUUCAAAUUGUACUCACAGUUAUGGAAACUUCAGCAAGAGAAUCGUCAGAAGUUGGUUGAGGCAGGGCUAAAGAGAUGGGAGAUUGGGGAGAUUGCUUCACGAAUUGCUCAGCUUUACUUUGGGCAAUACAUGAGGACCAGUGAAGCGAACUAUUUAUCCGAGUCUUACGUAUUUUAUGAAGCAAUAUUUACUCGAGAGUACUUCAAGGAGGGAUUGCUUCAAGAUGCCAGUCUUGCGAACAGGCAGCUGAGAUUUCUGUCCAGAUUUCUGAUGGUGUGCCUGCUUUUGAAUCGAAGAGAAAUGGUCCAUCAGUUAGCCAAUCAGCUUAAAAUGUUACUUGAUGAUUGUAAGAGAACAUUCCAGGAGAAGGAUGUUAGAGAAUCGAAGCUGGUAGUUCAGGAAAUAAUGAAAUUUCUGAAAGCAGAUACAGCCUUUAUGAAUAUCAGGCCUUUCAGAUAUAGUGUUGUGUUAGAGUCUCAUCCAGAUUCUCUAACACCUGUUCCUCCAUCACGAACAAAGAGAUACUUGAGGUUACAGGAUGCUAUUCUGAGUAGCUACCACCAUAACGAGGUCAAGUUUUCUGAGCUUACGCUAGACACGUUCAGGAUGAUCCAGUGCCUAGAAUGGGAACCUAGUGGUUCGUUCUAUCGGCCAAAUAAUAGAAGUGGGCAGAAUGGAGGAUCUGGGCCAAGUCGCAGUAACUUCUCACAGCAUAUAGUUGAUCCUACUCUCCCAUCUAAUCCUCGGAAGUCAAUUUUAUACCGUCCUUCAGUGACACAUUUUUUAGCAGUUCUAGCUACAAUUUGUGAGGAGAUGCCAAAUGAUGGGGUUCUCUUGAUAUAUUUGUCAGCUUCAGGCAUUGCAAAGAAUAUUUUAUCUUCCCCAGCUGGCAGUGAGUCUAUCAACGAUGCGGAGGAUAUUGAUAAAACCAAGUCUCCUUGUGGUCAAGUUGGAGGAGGCAUCAAAGGUCCCUCGACUGGUUGCUUAUCAUUUGGUGUUCGUGGCAAAGGAGGAUUAAGCUGCAUAUAUCCAAGCGACAUACUUCCAUUUACAAGAAGGCCAUUUCUUUUAGUUAUAGAUAGUGACGUCAGUGAAGAAUUUGAGACUAUCCAUGGAUCAGAAAAGGGAGAGCCAGCUGCAAUGCUGUUAUCUCCCAGCGCUACGAGUCACACUGUUGCUACCGAUUAUCGUCAUGGAAGCCUUUUCACCUUUUUUCUCACAGCCCCAUUGCAUGCUUUCUGUCUAUUGCUUGGUAUCUCAGGCUCUGAUGUUGAAAUGGAUACAUUUAAUAAAGCCGAGAACGUGCUAUCCUCGUCCUUAAGUGAGUGGGGGCAGUUUUUGGUGACAUCAGAGAACCUCGAUCAAGUUUGGGCUCAAAUUUUGAACGAUCCGUUCAUAAGGCGACUUCUCUUGAGAUUUAUAUUCUGUCGUACCGUGCUAGCACUUUACGCGCCAACCAUCGGUAAGAACGGAUAUGUUCCAAGGUGCGUGCCAUCUCUGCCCUCCGUCGUCGAUCCAACAACCGCAACAUUGCAAUCUGCAGUCAUGCAGAUAGCAAAUAUCUUCGGUGUAAGCCACAGUUUCGUCUUCUCAGAAUACCUGGUAUUUCCAGAAAACAAGCAAUGAAAUGUGUACUCAAAAUUAGUGGGAAAAAAAUAGGACCCAAAUGAACCAUUUCAAUCAUUGGUGGCGAUGUAGCUAGAAUGUUAAAGAAUCCUUACCAGGGUACGAGACCAAUCAAAUCUGGUGUGAUGAUAUCCCGUCUCUAGUGCUAUCUUCUCAAGUGUAUGGUUCAAAAAUCUCUUUUUUGUACUUUACUCCUAGGUUAUGUUUUUUUUUCUAUCUCUCGAUUUUCACAAGAAUCCAUAAUAUUACUAAUAUGGACACGAGUGAGAUGGGUACUUAUGAGAUUUUACAAGACAUAAUUGGUCUUUUAAAACCCGUUUUUUACUUUGAUGUUGACUUUGACUUUUUUGGGUUCGUUGUUACACAACUAUAAAAUGUAUUUACUAUUCUUUUGAAUGGUA
Cucurbita pepo subsp. pepo (vegetable marrow) is the source of this 2407-nucleotide non-coding RNA. Lineage: Eukaryota; Viridiplantae; Streptophyta; Magnoliopsida; Cucurbitales; Cucurbitaceae. The record is from RefSeq and is a predicted model, not a curated record.